This 885-nucleotide unclassified non-coding RNA is filed under the name Phyllobacterium sophorae. RNAcentral's name for it is "partial 16S-23S ribosomal RNA intergenic spacer". The stretch from base 295 to 367 matches the Rfam family "tRNA". Lineage: Bacteria; Pseudomonadati; Pseudomonadota; Alphaproteobacteria; Hyphomicrobiales; Phyllobacteriaceae. The record is from RNAcentral.
UUCGCGAGGGCCCUCGCAACGGCUCGGACGCGCUAGCGCGCUGUACUGGCGCCUGUUCGUCAAUGCCUGUUUGCGCUGGCGUCUUGAGGGCUUGUAGCUCAGUUGGUUAGAGCGCGCGCUUGAUAAGCGUGAGGUCGGAGGUUCAAGUCCUUCCCAGGCCCACCAUCUUUCUGUGCUCACGCGCGUACGCCCUUCGGGCGCGCUCCGCACGGGGCGGCCAAACGUGGCAGUCGCGCUUGCGAAGCUUCGCUUCGAGGGUGCCGGGCUGGACGGAUGAUUUACCCAUACCCUUACGGGGGCGUAGCUCAGCUGGGAGAGCACCUGCUUUGCAAGCAGGGGGUCGUCGGUUCGAUCCCGUCCGCCUCCACCAGGGUUUUUUGAAUUGGUUGCCGGGCGAGAUGCAAAAACAUCAUUUAAAGAACCAAGUUUGCGGCUUGUUGGGCUUUGGCCUGACGGUUGCGUGUUCUGUAUGAAAUUGUGAAGAGAAGAUAUGUCCGGGUUAUUCUGGAUGUUCAGGUUUGUACUCCAAAUACAGACCGCUAGGUCGUCGCGGCUUGCCGCGCGCUUAGUGCAGGCCCUUGCGGCCGUGAACGCUGAAAUAACGUCGCAAGGGAUGCUCAUCAAAAGCCCUUGCAGAUGAUUGGCCGCUUAACCGCAGAGCCAUCGGAUUUAUCUCGAGAAGCUGGUCUUUUUUGUCAAAUCGAUCGAUUGCUGAAUGGUUUGUGUUCCGUUGGUAUCCCCCACGGAAGCGGAUUGUUCGUGAAGGCAAGGAUGGAUAUUGGCAAUGAGAAUGAUCAAGUGUCUUAAGGGCAUUUGGUGGAUGCCUUGGCAUGCACAGGCGAUGAAGGACGUGAUACGCUGCGAUAAGCGUCGGGAGGUGCGAAU